GCGGGUAUCGUAUAACGAUAUUAUGUCUCCCUUCCAAGGAGAAGACACGGGUUUGACUCCCGUUACCCGCUCCA
Molecule: transfer RNA, 74 nt
Filed under: Patescibacteria group bacterium
Lineage: Bacteria
Description: tRNA-Gly
Rfam family: tRNA
About the family: Transfer RNA (tRNA) molecules are approximately 80 nucleotides in length. Their secondary structure includes four short double-helical elements and three loops (D, anti-codon, and T loops). Further hydrogen bonds mediate the characteristic L-shaped molecular structure. tRNAs have two regions of fundamental functional importance: the anti-codon, which is responsible for specific mRNA codon recognition, and the 3' end, to which the tRNAs corresponding amino acid is attached (by aminoacyl-tRNA synthetases). tRNAs cope with the degeneracy of the genetic code in two manners: having more than one tRNA (with a specific anti-codon) for a particular amino acid; and 'wobble' base-pairing, i.e. permitting non-standard base-pairing at the 3rd anti-codon position.
Source: RNAcentral